This 387-nucleotide ribosomal RNA is filed under the name Cyclidium glaucoma. Its description in RNAcentral is "partial small subunit ribosomal RNA". It matches the Rfam family "Eukaryotic small subunit ribosomal RNA", at positions 30 to 432 of the family's 1831-position model. Lineage: Eukaryota; Ciliophora; Oligohymenophorea; Pleuronematida; Cyclidiidae. The record is from RNAcentral.
GCUUGUCUCAAAGAUUAAGCCAUGCAUGUCUUAGUGUAAAUAACUCUUAUGAAACUGCGAAUGGCUCAUUAAAUCAGUUAUCAAAUACGUGAUGGUCGCCUACUACAUGGAUAACCGUAGUAAUUCUAGAGCUAAUACAUGCACAAAGGCCCACUCACGUGGGUUGUGAUUAUUAGAUAUGAAGCCAAUAUUCCGCAAGGUCUAUUGUGGUGAAUCAUAGUAACUGAUCGGAUCCCCAACUGGGGAUAGAUCAUUCAAGUUUCUGCCCUAUCAGCUUUCGAUGGUAGUGUAUUGGACUACCAUGGCAGUAACGGGUAACGGAGAAUUAGGGUUCGGUUCCGGAGAGGGAGCCUGAGAAACGGCUACCACAUCUAAGGAGGCAGCAGG